AGUAAUCCUCUAGAAUCACAACCAGUCUAAACCAAAAUAAUGAAAAGAAGAUAGAGAACUGGGACGAUUUCGAUAUUGGUGGCUUGCUUAGAUCUUCCUUUAUACGCAAGAUGACCAAGAAAAAGUGUGUGAUAGCUGUGAACCUUGGUUGACUUGGUUCAUUUGCUUGCAGGCAGGGGCGGAUUUAGGGGGACAGAAGAGUGUUCGCCCGAACCCCCUUCGUCGAAAUAUUAUUUUUUUAUCUCUAUAUAUUGUAUUAUAAAUUCACUUGAUAGCUUAGUGGUCAAGGGGUUCAAAACCUUUAUAAGGUCAUUGGUUCUAUUUCCACUAGGUACAACUUUUUUAACAUGAAUCCACUUGAUAGGUUAGUGGUCAAGGGGUUCGAUACAUUUUUAAGGUCAUUUUGUUCUAUUCCCACUAGGUACAACUUUUUUAACUUUUUCCUUUUUUUGAAUCUCCUUGAUGGUAAUCCUGCCUCCGCCACUGGCACGUUCUGAGUCAUCCUUUCCUAGGUGAUAGUUCUCAGCUCGUGAAAUUACUAUAUCAAAGCAUAACAAAAACCAUUGCAUACACGCAUUUCCAU
RNAcentral lists this long non-coding RNA (583 nucleotides) under Nicotiana benthamiana. RNAcentral's name for it is "long non-coding RNA (NBEN_LNC008041)". The record is from RNAcentral. Lineage: Eukaryota; Viridiplantae; Streptophyta; Magnoliopsida; Solanales; Solanaceae.